AAACCGGUUCUCUAUCGACGCACAUACGCGCACACACUAGUACUCCUCUGUAGUAGUCCUCCUCGAUCCGCUUCUCCCAUACCGUGGUCAUGGAGGAAGAUCGUGCCAGUGGGCAGCGUCUGGCAGAGAGAGAUGCGUCAGACCCCUCAGAACUGCCAGGUGGCGUGCAGCGCGUCGCACCCGCUUCCGCGCCGACGUCCUCAUUUGCAAAUAUCCAGAUGCGCCCAGAAGGGCAACGGUACGGUGAUGCGGACCUGGUUCCCGGUGGCAGCCUCAGUGGCAACGGAGGCAUGCUGAUGAAUGAGCGCAACUUCCACGGACCAGGGAUGCCGUGCGUCCCCCUUCGUGGUCCGGGGGAGGGUCAGCCAGACCUUGGUUCGGCCGACGGGUACGCCCGGUUCGAUCCUAUAUUUCCUGGCCAGAUGCCACCAGGCCGCGGCCGGGGCCGUUUUGACGUCGGCGGCAGCUGGGGGCAAGGUGCACCAAACCUACCAGGGGAGCCGGACAACGACCUUUUCCUGCCUCCGCAGGGCGGCCCCGGUGAACCGUUUGGCGGCCCCGGUGGUGGCCAGUUCGGGCCGCGGCACAGCUGGGGUGGGAACUCCCCGUGGGCUUGAACAACAAACUCGACAGAGAGCGUAGACGGAAGGAGGCGUUCGGUUUUGUUUCGUUGUUGUGAAACGCUGUACCGUGUGUCUCCCGUCCCCCUCUCAUCUUCUCUCCCUCUGCCGUAUUAUCGUUCAUUACGAAAUGCGCCACCACCCAUCCAGGCAUGUCUCCUCAUCUCCGCGUUGCUUGGCUCAGGUUUUUCUUUCGACGGACUCUUUCGCUGGGUUUUCUACUUUCUCUUCUGCUCACGCGUGUUAUGGAAUGGCUGAGUGAGUCGUGUCGUGUUUCUCUCAUGCCCCUCACCUCCACCCGUUUCUCUCCCUCUUCCCGCAUCUAUCUUAGCUCUCGCGUCACUCUCUCUCUCUCUUUGCGGCUGAUAGGACUUGUGCUAUGCUG
Molecule: unclassified non-coding RNA, 1005 nt
Filed under: Leishmania donovani
Lineage: Eukaryota; Euglenozoa; Kinetoplastea; Trypanosomatida; Trypanosomatidae
Description: gene:LdHU3.36.4720(CDS-product:hypothetical_prote in)
Source: RNAcentral